GAUGAACGCUGGCGGCGUGCCUAAUACAUGCAAGUCGAGCGAACAGACGAGGAGCUUGCUCCUCUGACGUUAGCGGCGGACGGGUGAGUAACACGUGGAUAACCUACCUAUAAGACUGGGAUAACUUCGGGAAACCGGAGCUAAUACCGGAUAAUAUAUUGAACCGCAUGGUUCAAUAGUGAAAGACGGUUUUGCUGUCACUUAUAGAUGGAUCCGCGCCGCAUUAGCUAGUUGGUAAGGUAACGGCUUACCAAGGCAACGAUGCGUAGCCGACCUGAGAGGGUGAUCGGCCACACUGGAACUAGGACAGGGUCCAGACUCCUACGGGAGGCAGCAGUAGGGAAUCUUCCGCGAUGGGCGGAAGCCCGACGGAGCAACGCCGCGUGAGUGAUGAAGGUCUUCGGAUCGUAAAACUCUGUUAUUAGGGAAGAACAAAUGUGUAAGUAACUAUGCACGUCUUGACGGUACCUAAUCAGAAAGCCACGGCUAACUACGUG
RNAcentral lists this ribosomal RNA (497 nucleotides) under uncultured bacterium. Its description in RNAcentral is "partial 16S ribosomal RNA". It matches the Rfam family "Bacterial small subunit ribosomal RNA", at positions 28 to 507 of the family's 1533-position model. The record is from RNAcentral.